Molecule: ribosomal RNA, 383 nt
Filed under: uncultured eukaryote
Lineage: Eukaryota
Description: partial 18S ribosomal RNA
Rfam family: Eukaryotic small subunit ribosomal RNA
Source: RNAcentral
CAAUAGCGUACAUUAAAGUUGUUGCAGUUAAAAAGCUCGUAGUUGGAUUUCUGGUGGGAGCGAUCGGUCUGGCGCUUAGCGCGAGUACUUGCAUCGUCUCCGGCCAUCCUUGGGGAGAGUCUGUCUGGCAUUAAGUUGUCGGGCAGAGGAUCCUCAUCGUUUACUGUGAAAAAAUUAGAGUGUUCAAAGCAGGCUUAUGCCGUUGAAUAUGUUAGCAUGGAAUAAUAAGAUAGGACUUUGGUACUAUUUUGUUGGUUUGCGCACCAAAGUAAUGAUUAACAGGGACAGUUGGGGGUAUUCGUAUUCCGUUGUCAGAGGUGAAAUUCUUGGAUUUACGGAAGACGAACUACUGCGAAAGCAUUUACCAAGGAUGUUUUCAUUAA